ACCCAUGGGGGCCCCAAUGUCUACAGUUCUCAGCUCCCUAACUUCUUGGACUUGUUGGCACUUCUUAUUGAGACUCUUUCUCAGACAAAGGGAAAAAAGCACUUAACUCUACCUUCACAUCUCGAUGCAUGAUGCCCAAGUCAUGGAGAUAACCUGUGGAUAACAAGUAUGGGUACCAGCACCAACUCGGCAGCAAAGAGACGGAUGGAAGCCUCAGGAAAGCAGCCAACAGCCGACCAAAGGGAGUACAGAUCUGUGCUGCAGUAGCUACACACUGCAAAGCCAGUGUGGAGCUACAUACAUUGCCAGAAGUCUAGGCAAUGUUUGGGAGCUGCAAUGCCUGGGCUCAAGGCAUUGUAGGCCUCCUGCCCAAACUGAUACCACCUGCUGUUCCCCUCCCUUUGGGACAGAGAGGUGCCAUGAGAAGGGGGACAGAGCAAAGGCAGAACAAGCCAAAGAGAAUGGACUUAGAGGAAACCGAAGAAAUCCCAAGCCACACCAAACAGGACCUCAAGACUCUCCCAUUUUUCUAUCAUCAGGGGCAUGUUUGGUACCUCUGGCGAUUUGCGAAAUGACCUUCUGACCCCAGAACUCCGAGUCAAACCCUGUGCCACACCCUUCCCAGGGCCCAGUGGUACUGCAUCAUCUGUUGCAAUCAGCUGCCGAGGCUUCACCACUGGUAUUCCUAUGAAAAAGCAAGUGUACCAGCUGUCAUCCAUCCUCGUUCUGAAGUCUCAGCUGUCUUUGGGGUUGCUACCCUAUUCUUCUGGGGCUCCACCAUAAAAGUUCUCACCAGUAGUCACCAGUUUGGACUUAUCCUCUUCAUCACCAACUUCAUCAUCUUCCACACUUCGGCCAGGAAAGAAAAAGCCCAUCAUUCUGUGGAAGAACUGGUGUGUCAGCUGGAUGGUGAGAGGCACCACAUUUACCUAAAAAGGAAAAAGAUUCAAGAAGCAAUUAAGCUCAGAUACCAUCAUCAGUUUACCUACUCCUAAUAUCGUGUAACACACAGGUGGCUUUUGAAUGUCCCUUGUUCCCAGGUCCCUAAGGGACUGCUUACUAACCUCAAAAUGCUCCUUAACAGAGAUACCCCCAACAGGGGGCCGAACUUUGCUGAAGAGGCGGAGAGCUAGCUGUCGCCCAGACUGGCAGGAGCUCUGGGGCCGCAGUACUACCUGUAGGAUAGAGAGUAAAGAAGAGCCCAACCCAAUGUCCUUCCUGCCAUAAAGCAACCCACAAAUCCUCUGCAGAAUGAGAGGAGAAGCAAUGGUACUGCUAAGCUGGGCAAGCUUUCACCCUCUCAGAUCACCACAUUGUUUUCCAUAGUGGAUUUAUACUGAAGGGCCGUUAUAAAUGCCCCGUGCUAAAAACAUGCAAAUGGACUAGGAAAGGGGAAAAAAGACUUGCCUUAUAGACAGCAUUGGGGAGGAGGUUGUUCAUGGUAAACCAGCCCAACUCCAGAAGAUGUUCUGCUGUGUCAUCAGACUUAUUCACCUAUAAAGACAGAUUUUGCCCCAUCUACUAUAAUAAACCUUUCUCAGAAGUCUACUA
This is a long non-coding RNA of Homo sapiens (human), 1551 nucleotides long. Ensembl annotates it as SPAG5 antisense RNA 1. Its record names the gene SPAG5-AS1. The record is from Ensembl. NCBI's taxonomy places the organism in Eukaryota, Metazoa, Chordata, Mammalia, Primates, Hominidae.